Molecule: long non-coding RNA, 412 nt
Organism: Drosophila novamexicana
Lineage: Eukaryota; Metazoa; Arthropoda; Insecta; Diptera; Drosophilidae
Exons: 3
Source: RefSeq, a predicted model, not a curated record
GUGAAAGAUGCUGCCUUCGUGGUUGCCAAGUGUGGACCGCUGGCGGCCGUUGGCUGCCGCAUCUGUGCAAACAAGCGACCUCAUGGAAUCUCGAUCAUGACGAAAUUUAAAGAUAACAACGAGAGAUUCUCAAGAAAUGGGACACAGUCAUAAUGUGUCAUGGAUAUUAUGUCCGGGGAAGAGACGAUAGGCUAUCCAAAUCAAUAAUUCAUCACGAUUGUGUUCAACGAUAGAAUUAUUAUUCAAACAAUUGCAAGCUUCAAGUAAAUACAGUCACAACUUGACAAAAGGGAGGACAGAAGGAAAAAAGCUGGAAAAGACCAGACAAGCUUACUUGGGCAACGCCGGAUAAUACCCGCUAAGUGUAGAUACAUAAAUUAAAAACUAAAUAUUCAAAUGCUGUAAAACAUAU